GAUUUGUAUAAUUGCGUUUGAACUCUUAACUGCACAUAAAUGGAAAUACACUGCAGUUUUAUCGCACACAUCUGUAAUACUUAAUAUAAAAAAAUCAUGUUAUAAUGCGUUAUAGCCUACAUAAGGAUAAUACGCACUGGAUACCCUUAUUAUAUGGUAGCUUUAUAAAUGCAUUGACAUGAGAACAGAAAUAAGCACCGACGACCAACGGAUAAAACUAAUGAGACAAAAGUAAUCUUCGUGCGCAGGUUACAUGCAAGAGCUGCUUGUGCAAAAAAGCCUAGGAAUAUGUGGAAUAGUAAGUACUGUUUUCGCACUGACAUGAGGUUUAUCAGCGGUUUCCAUUCCACAGCGGCGCGACUAUCAUGAGCAGAAGACGCGCGCAGCGUGCAAAGUCGUAACAUGACCAAGUCCAGCCCUGCAAUAAGACCACAAGAAACUUGUUCAAUAGGAAACUGAGUACAAAAUUACGUCCCAAUGGAGCUCUCACGCUUGCUUCAAAAUCUUGUACACUGGUGAAGGGAAACGCACGUCGUGAUUCUACUUUAGAUACCUUUAUGAUGAAGCGUCGUUUUCUACGUGAAGAUUGUUUAAUGUCUUGGCCACCCCAAUUGCCCCAGCCAGGCAGGCUUAAAUCCAUAUCAUUGGGUUUGCUCUUUUUCAUCUAUAGAUUAUCAUUAAUUUUUUAAUAGAAAAUUGAGUAUAAAUUAUCAUUAGUAAAUUACUUUAUAAUAUUAAAAAAAUGUUAUUUA
This is a long non-coding RNA of Nasonia vitripennis (jewel wasp), 752 nucleotides long. RefSeq lists it as uncharacterized. The record is from RefSeq and is a predicted model, not a curated record. The transcript has 3 exons. NCBI's taxonomy places the organism in Eukaryota, Metazoa, Arthropoda, Insecta, Hymenoptera, Pteromalidae.